This 675-nucleotide long non-coding RNA is filed under the name Daucus carota (carrot). Its description in RNAcentral is "long non-coding RNA (DCAR_LNC001730)". Lineage: Eukaryota; Viridiplantae; Streptophyta; Magnoliopsida; Apiales; Apiaceae. The record is from RNAcentral.
CUUAAUAAUAUACAGAAAAGAAAAGACAUACAAGAUAUUAUACAAAACAGGGACCUCUUCCUCGUGAUAGAUCUUUUAUAAUUAAGAAGAAUAUUGUUGUUGAACACUUUUAAGCAACAAAAAAAUUAACACAAAAACAGAGUAUUGCAAUUUCACAAAACAAAUGAAAAAAAAAACAAAAAAUCAAAGGAAAUAAACUAGAUAAAGAUAAUAAACCAAAUAAACAUAAAAACAAAGAACACUAAAUGCAAAUAAACUCAUAACAUGAAGCCCUAAAUUCAAAAAUACCUUAUAAUAAAGUCUUGGAGUGCAAACUCAAACUAAGAACACCUGAAAUCAAAAAGAAAGAGAUAUUAGAUGAAGUUUAAGAGAUUAUAUGUAAGUAAUUGAACCCUAAUUGAAGUUUAAUGAAGAACCAAAACCCUGAUUGAAAAGCCAAAACCCUAAUUGAAGAAUUGGAACCUCGACCCACAAAUCAACUGUGCUCCAACUAUAAAUGCAAAUCCAUGUUAAUUAAAAGUGAUGACGAGAUUGAGUGAAAAUGGUGGCCAGAGAGAGAUUAGCUUUAGAGAGAUUAACAAGAGAGAGAGUAGAGAAGGGAGAGAGAGUUGAGCGAGGGAGAGAGUGUAGUGAGUGUUGAGGGUAUUCAAGGAGACUCGAGCGUGUUCAGUGUAU